CUCCAGCUGACGACUCUCAAAUAGGACGAAAUGCGCAUCCUGGAU
RNAcentral lists this non-coding RNA (45 nucleotides) under Trichobilharzia regenti. Lineage: Eukaryota; Metazoa; Platyhelminthes; Trematoda; Strigeidida; Schistosomatidae. The record is from RNAcentral.